Molecule: precursor RNA, 659 nt
Filed under: Palicourea crocea
Lineage: Eukaryota; Viridiplantae; Streptophyta; Magnoliopsida; Gentianales; Rubiaceae
Description: partial transfer RNA-Thr
Rfam family: Group I catalytic intron (bases 492-659)
Source: RNAcentral
UAUUAUUUUAUUUGAUUCUAUAUCAUAAUCAUAUAUUUUAUUUCGAAUUACAAAUGGUUAGUUAUUUAUAACUAAUGAGACAUUACCCACUUUCAGUCAUAAAGAGGUAAGCAGGAAAGGCGGAAAUUAAGACGACAAAGAGAGAAUCGACCCUUCAAGUAUUGAAAAUUACAUCGAAAAUGUGACAGGUAGAUAUAUAUACCUAGGAUAUAUAUCCGGCUAUAUUGAAUUGCAGAUACAGAAAUGGUACAAUCAUAGUCGAUUGAACCAAAUAUGGUUUUCCUAUAGUCCUCAAAUACGGUUCUCCUAUAGUCCUAUAGAUAGUCUAUAUAAAAUAGGUAAGAGAUAAAAGAAAACACUUUUUCGAGAUAGGAAUCCGGUAUCUAAUGAAUUCAACGAGUUCAGUAUAAAUGAAAGAAAAAAAGAAACACAUCACAAUGAAAUUUGAAUCUAACGCAAAAUGAGGGGGGAUAUGGCGAAAUUGGUAGACGCUACGGACUUAAUUAGAUUGGGCCUUGGUAUGGAAACUCGCCAAGUGAGAACUUUCAAAUUCAGAGAAACUCCGGAAUUAAUAAAAGGGGGCAAUCCUGAGCCAAAUCUUUUUUCUGAAAGCAAAAGUUCAGAAAGUGAAAAAAAGGGAUAGGUGCAGAGACUUCAAU